This 274-nucleotide ribosomal RNA is filed under the name uncultured bacterium. RNAcentral describes it as "partial 16S ribosomal RNA". It matches the Rfam family "Bacterial small subunit ribosomal RNA", at positions 523 to 796 of the family's 1533-position model. The record is from RNAcentral.
CUACGGAGGAUCCAAGCGUUAUCCGGAAUCAUUGGGUUUAAAGGGUCCGUAGGUGGAUAAUUAAGUCAGAGGUGAAAUCCUGCAGCUCAACUGUAGCAUUGCCUUUGAUACUGGUUAUCUUGAGUUAUUAUGAAGUAGUUAGAAUAUGUAGUGUAGCGGUGAAAUGCAUAGAUAUUACAUAGAAUACCGACUGCGAAGGCAGAUUACUAAUAAUAUACUGACACUGAGGGACGAAAGCGUGGGGAGCGAACAGGAUUAGAAACCCUAGUAGUCC